This is a non-coding RNA of Jimgerdemannia flammicorona, 71 nucleotides long. The record is from the annotation of a GenBank genome assembly. Lineage: Eukaryota; Fungi; Mucoromycota; Endogonomycetes; Endogonales; Endogonaceae.
AGGGGUGUAGUUCAAUGGUAGAACUAAGAACUCCAAACUCUUCAAUAGUGGUUCAAGUCCGCUCACCCCUG